Molecule: long non-coding RNA, 430 nt
Filed under: Panax ginseng (ginseng)
Lineage: Eukaryota; Viridiplantae; Streptophyta; Magnoliopsida; Apiales; Araliaceae
Description: long non-coding RNA (PGIN_LNC015987)
Source: RNAcentral
UUAAAGCCUUUUUCCUCCUUAUUAAGGGUUUAUGGUGAAAAGGUUGCAGAAGUCCCUCUUGUUGCUACACGUUUUCUAUAUCGUCGACGUGGAAUGUGUCGCAUUCUAAUGAAUGAGCUUGAAAAGGUAAUCCAAUCUUAGCACCUUGUUCUUUGUCCAUAUCUUAUAUCUAUUUAAUUUCUGGCUGUUGAGGAAGGAGGGAGGGAGAUGAUUGAGUGUUUGUGUUCUAGUAACCAAGAGUCACUUCAUUGCUGUCCCUUCAAAACUUGUAAUUAUGAGACCCUUUGGUUUCUCUGACUUGUGAAAUAUUAUCCCCAAGCAUGUGCCUCACCUAAACAGCCAAUUACACUUUUAAUAUUGUCCAAAUAAUUUCAUUUUAUCACUAUAUAUUUAUAUAUAUUUAUCUUGUGUUACGAAAAGUGCUGGGGGG